AUUGAACGCUGGCGGCAUGGCUAAAGCAUGCAAGUCGAACGGACCCGCAAGGGUCAGUGGCGAAAGGGUCAGUAAUACGAUCGAACGUACCCUGAGGUGUGGGAUAGCCGCGGGAAACUGCGGGUAAUACCACAUGUGCUCUACGGAGGAAGGCUUCCCUUCACGGGGUGGCGCCUCGGGAGCGGCGAUCGUCCUAUCAGGUAGUUGGCGGGGUAACGG
RNAcentral lists this ribosomal RNA (219 nucleotides) under uncultured bacterium. RNAcentral describes it as "partial 16S ribosomal RNA". It matches the Rfam family "Bacterial small subunit ribosomal RNA", at positions 30 to 263 of the family's 1533-position model. The record is from RNAcentral.